GCCUUCGUGAUGUAGUGGUCAGCACGCUGGACUCGUAUCCAGAGGUCCGUGGUUCGAGUCCCGGCGAAGGCG
Molecule: transfer RNA, 72 nt
Filed under: Stegodyphus mimosarum
Lineage: Eukaryota; Metazoa; Arthropoda; Arachnida; Araneae; Eresidae
Rfam family: tRNA
About the family: Transfer RNA (tRNA) molecules are approximately 80 nucleotides in length. Their secondary structure includes four short double-helical elements and three loops (D, anti-codon, and T loops).
Source: Rfam by way of RNAcentral